Molecule: long non-coding RNA, 81 nt
Organism: Etheostoma spectabile (orangethroat darter)
Lineage: Eukaryota; Metazoa; Chordata; Actinopteri; Perciformes; Percidae
Exons: 3
Source: RefSeq, a predicted model, not a curated record
GCCACUUCUAGCCACUAGGGGAUCAUAGGCUGGCUGGGGGAACACAUAUUAAUGUUAAAAUCCCUCAUAAAGUUAAAUUUU